This 1468-nucleotide long non-coding RNA is filed under the name Equus caballus (horse). RNAcentral describes it as "lncRNA (ENSECAG00000051279.1)". Lineage: Eukaryota; Metazoa; Chordata; Mammalia; Perissodactyla; Equidae. The record is from RNAcentral.
GUCACAUUCUGAGGCCCCAGGUGGACAGGGCUCUGCUAAACUCCUCGCUGCAUUUAAAAGGUAUUUCAAAGCCUGUGGCUCAGAGAUGAACCGAGGAGAGAGAGUGAAGCAACUGUUGUGCGACAUGUCUGCAGUACAGUGUUGAGCACUGAGCAAGGGCCUCAGAGACCAGGAGGAGAGAGAGAGUUGACCUCUGCUCAUUCCCUGUGGGAGCAAGAGGAGGAGAAGGAAGGGGAAGAGUGGGAGGAGGAGGAAGAGAGAGCAAGCUGAAGCACUGAGGAACCAGGUGGACCUGGGCUCUGAGGUCCUUGGGGAUGUGAGGACACAGAUGACCAGAAGGCCUCUCAGAGAUAGGACUGUGACGGAACCACCCAGGACCCACCCCAGGAGGGAAGAUUAGUGCUGAGCUAACAUCUGCUGCCAAUCAUCUUCUUUCUGCUGAGGAAGACUGGCCCUGAGCUAACAUCUGUGCCCAUCUCCCUCUACUUUAUAUAUGGGAUGCCUACCACAGCAUGGCUUGCCAAGUGGUGCCAUGCCCACACCUGGGAUCCGAACUGGCGAAGCCUGGGCCACCAAAGCAGAACAUGCAAACUUAAUUGCUGCACCACCAGGCUGGCCCCCACCUUUGGUGUUUUUUUGAUGGUGAACCUUAAAGUGCUCAUUGUAUCAAUUUAUCGGGACCUGCCUAUACCAAUGACUACUAUUUGUAGACAGGAAACAAACAACAACCAGAGAUUGCCAGGAUCCUGGAGUUAUUGGCAUCCACUUGCCUUUCCCUCGCCUUUUGCUGUUUUGGGGUUCCUGCCUCAUGAGAGCUAUAGCUGGAGGUCCAAGAAAGCAACUUGCACGCUUUGGGUGGGAAAAGCUUUUGGCCUUCACAAGGGGAAACGCCCCAGCGAACGUGUGGUUUUCCUCCAUAGCUAAGUUGAGCACAACAUGUUAAGAAAUAUUGCCCAAAACCUUUCCUAUCAGAAGCAUUUAAGUUAUUCUUAAACAGUUUUGACAACAGCAUAUUUUACCUCGAAGCCAUAACCAUGCAUUAUUUAGAUAACAGAUUUCUGCUGAAUUCCAUCCCCUUUCUUGUCCUAAAUGUUGUAAUGUAUUGGGUAUUUAAGAACACACGCAAGAACGUUAGCCACAGGACUAUGUGUCCAACCUACUCUGUAAAAUGCUCCUAUUAUCAAAAUGUAUGCUUCUGAGUUACAAAAUAGUUUUUCCCUUUUAGAUGGUAUGCAGAUUGCCAGGGAAUAAUGCCUUUUAUUGUUAACCUUUGUUAAGUAAUAGUAGCAUUUGUUUCCGUUAAAACAUGACUAUUUCUGUGUAACAUUUAUUGCAUAAAAAUAGAACAACGUUGACAAUUUGCAGCCCCUCUUCUUGCCAGCUCUUCCCCUAGAUGUCUGGAAGACAAACGUACUUUUUCAGUGGAAUCUAGAAUUUGUUUUUCAAAGAAUAAAACAAAAAAAAAUAA